This 401-nucleotide ribosomal RNA is filed under the name uncultured bacterium. RNAcentral's name for it is "bacterial SSU rRNA". It matches the Rfam family "Bacterial small subunit ribosomal RNA", at positions 975 to 1375 of the family's 1533-position model. The record is from RNAcentral.
CAAGUCUUGACAUCCCUCUGAAUCCUCUAGAGAUAGAGGCGGCCUUCGGGACAGAGGUGACAGGUGGUGCAUGGUUGUCGUCAGCUCGUGUCGUGAGAUGUUGGGUUAAGUCCCGCAACGAGCGCAACCCUUGAUUUUAGUUGCCAGCACUUUGGGUGGGCACUCUAGAAUGACUGCCGGUGACAAACCGGAGGAAGGCGGGGAUGACGUCAAAUCAUCAUGCCCCUUAUGACUUGGGCCACACACGUACUACAAUGGCUGGUACAACGGGAAGCGAAGCCGCGAGGUGGAGCCAAUCCUAUAAAAGCCAGUCUCAGUUCGGAUUGCAGGCUGCAACUCGCCUGCAUGAAGUCGGAAUUGCUAGUAAUCGCGGAUCAGCAUGCCGCGGUGAAUACGUUCCC